This 460-nucleotide ribosomal RNA is filed under the name uncultured bacterium. RNAcentral describes it as "partial 16S ribosomal RNA". It matches the Rfam family "Bacterial small subunit ribosomal RNA", at positions 338 to 795 of the family's 1533-position model. The record is from RNAcentral.
CCUACGGGAGGCAGCAGUGAGGAAUAUUGGUCAAUGGACGCAAGUCUGAACCAGCCAUGCCGCGUGCAGGAAGACGGCUCUAUGAGUUGUAAACUGCUUUUGUACGAGGAUAAACGCAGAUACGCGUACCUUUCUGAAUGUAUUUUACGAAUAAGGACCGGCUAAUUCCGUGCCAGCAGCCGCGGUAAUACGGAGGGUCCGGGCGUUAUCCGGAUUUAUUGGGUUUAAAGGGAGCGUAGGCGGGCUUUUAAGUCAGCUGUGAAAGUUCGCGGCUCAACCGUAGAAUUGCAGUUGCAACUGGAGGCCUUGAGUGCACACAGGGAUGCCGGAAUUCAUGGUGUAGCGGUGAAAUGCUUAGAUAUCAUGAAGAACUCCGAUCGCGAAGGCAGGUGACCGGGGUGCAACUGACGCUGAGGCUCGAAAGUGCGGGUAUCAAACAGGAUUAGAUACCCCAGUAGUC